This 77-nucleotide transfer RNA is filed under the name Providencia sp. wls1922. Its description in RNAcentral is "tRNA-Ile". It matches the Rfam family "tRNA". From Rfam's summary of the family: Transfer RNA (tRNA) molecules are approximately 80 nucleotides in length. Their secondary structure includes four short double-helical elements and three loops (D, anti-codon, and T loops). Further hydrogen bonds mediate the characteristic L-shaped molecular structure. tRNAs have two regions of fundamental functional importance: the anti-codon, which is responsible for specific mRNA codon recognition, and the 3' end, to which the tRNAs corresponding amino acid is attached (by aminoacyl-tRNA synthetases). tRNAs cope with the degeneracy of the genetic code in two manners: having more than one tRNA (with a specific anti-codon) for a particular amino acid; and 'wobble' base-pairing, i.e. permitting non-standard base-pairing at the 3rd anti-codon position. The record is from RNAcentral. Lineage: Bacteria; Pseudomonadati; Pseudomonadota; Gammaproteobacteria; Enterobacterales; Morganellaceae.
GGCCCCUUAGCUCAGUUGGUUAGAGCAGGCGACUCAUAAUCGCUUGGUCACUGGUUCAAGUCCAGUAGGGACCACCA